This 301-nucleotide ribosomal RNA is filed under the name uncultured bacterium. RNAcentral's name for it is "partial 16S ribosomal RNA". It matches the Rfam family "Bacterial small subunit ribosomal RNA", at positions 509 to 807 of the family's 1533-position model. The record is from RNAcentral.
CAGUCGCCACGGGAAUACAGAGGGUGCGAGCGUUAAUCGGAUUUACUGGGCGUAAAGCGUGCGUAGGCGGCUUCUUAAGUCGGAUGUGAAAUUCCUGAGCUUAACUUAGGAAUUGCAUUCGAUACUGGGAAGCUAGAGUAUGGGAGAGGAUGGUAGAAUUCCAGGUGUAGCGGUGAAAUGCGUAGAGAUCUGGAGGAAUACCGAUGGCGAAGGCAGCCAUCUGGCCUAAUACUGACGCUGAGGUACGAAAGCAUGGGGAGCAAACAGGAUUAGAUACCCCCGUAGUCCCUGUCUCUUAUAC